This 399-nucleotide unclassified non-coding RNA is filed under the name fungal sp. RNAcentral's name for it is "partial internal transcribed spacer region". The stretch from base 1 to 46 matches the Rfam family "Eukaryotic small subunit ribosomal RNA", at positions 1786 to 1831 of the family's 1831-position model. The record is from RNAcentral. Lineage: Eukaryota; Fungi.
AAGUCGUAACAAGGUUUCCGUAGGUGAACCUGCGGAAGGAUCAUUACCGAACUUUCAAAAAUGAAAAAUCUGUAUAAUGGAUUUUUUCAUGCAAAAGCCCAGCGCUCAUUUGUGAAAGGUAGUCGUUUUGAAUGACCGAGUAACUUUUGGCAUGGAUGCUUUUUGCCUAUUGCAAGUCUGUCGAACAGUGUGUGACUGAUACUUGCAACGUGGACAAUGACCAUUGAUGUCGGACACGUUAAACGAUAUGAAAAAGUAUAAAAUGUUUCAUGUCAAUUUGCUUUUCUCAGUAUUUACGUACUGGGAAUCGCAAUGCUUUUGUAAAUGUAUAUUAUUAUACAAAAACAAAGAAUAAAAUUAAAAAUAUCAACCUCGAGUGGUGGAUCACUCGGCUCGUGG